This 154-nucleotide ribosomal RNA is filed under the name zygomycete sp. GFI 7. RNAcentral describes it as "5.8S ribosomal RNA". It matches the Rfam family "5.8S ribosomal RNA". Rfam says of the family: 5.8S ribosomal RNA (5.8S rRNA) is a component of the large subunit of the eukaryotic ribosome. It is transcribed by RNA polymerase I as part of the 45S precursor that also contains 18S and 28S rRNA. Functionally, it is thought that 5.8S rRNA may be involved in ribosome translocation. Lineage: Eukaryota; Fungi; Mucoromycota. RNAcentral also lists the same sequence under 1 other name. The record is from RNAcentral.
CAACUUUUAACAACGGAUCUCUUGGUUCUCGCAUCGAUGAAGAACGUAGCAAAGUGCGAUAACUAGUGUGAAUUGCAUAUUCAGUGAAUCAUCGAGUCUUUGAACGCAUCUUGCACUCAUUGGUAUUCCAAUGAGUACGCCUGUUUCAGUAUCA